ACCACUUUAAUACGAUGUAAAAAGUAAACAUUAAGUAUAUUUAAAUAUGGAUUUCCUAGAUAAUACUCCAGUUUAAAAUUUUAAAACAUACAUGAAAAUGUAAUUUAGAUAACUUAAUAAUUUAGGUAAAUUAGGUGCCAGCAACCGCGGUCAUACCUAAUAUGUUAGUUUACUAUUAGUAGUAAGUAGUAAGAACAUUUUAGAUAUUAAUGAUAAGUAGUGAAAUACUAUCAUAAUUCAACACUUCUAAUAUUAUUAACAAAUAAACCCCUAAAAAAAACUAGGAUUAGAGACCCUACUAUUAAGGAUUUAAAUAAUUAUUUACUAAGGAGUAAUACUACAAUUUUAAACUUAAAUGUUAUGGCGGCUAAUUAAAACAAUUAGGGGAACUUACCAUGUAAUUGAUAGCCACCAAGCUUAAACCCACUUACUAUAAUAAUUUGUAUACCGUUGUCUUCAUAAACCCCUUUAAGGGGUUUAGAUUAAAUAUAAGCUAUUAAAAGACAAAUCAAGGUGCAGUCAAUUAGUAAGAAUUAAGGUGAGUUACAAUAAUUUUUAUUUUCGGAAUGAAACAUGAAAUAUUUCAAGAAGAUGGACUUAAAAGUAAUUCAUAAAUAAAUAUUUAUUAAAGGAAUAUGUUUUGCUUAGCGUA
Molecule: ribosomal RNA, 652 nt
Filed under: Carinigera thessalonica crassilabra
Lineage: Eukaryota; Metazoa; Mollusca; Gastropoda; Stylommatophora; Clausiliidae
Description: Isabellaria thessalonica crassilabra partial 12S ribosomal RNA
Source: RNAcentral